CCUACGGGAGGCAGCAGUGGGGGAUAUUGCACAAUGGGGGAAACCCUGAUGCAGCGACGCCGCGUGGGGGAAGAAGGAUUUCGGUAUGUAAAGCCCUAUCAGCAGGGAAGAAGAAAUGACGGUACCUGAGUAAGAAGCACCGGCUAAAUACGGGCCAGCAGCCGCGGUAAUACGUAUGGUGCAAGCGUUAUCCGGAUGUACGGGGUGGAAAGGGAGCGCAGGCGGCACGGCAAGCCUGAUGUGAAAGCCCGCGGCCCAACCGCGGGACUGCAUUGGGAACUACCGGGCUGGAGUGCCGGAGAGGUAGGCGGAAUUCCUAGUGUAGCGGUGAAAUGCGUAGAUAUUAGGAGGAACACCAGUGGCGAAGGCGGCCUACUGGACGGUGACUGACGCUGAGGCUCGAAAGCGUGGGGAGCAAACAGGAUUAGAUACCCGUGUAGUC
Molecule: ribosomal RNA, 442 nt
Filed under: uncultured bacterium
Lineage: Bacteria
Description: partial 16S ribosomal RNA
Rfam family: Bacterial small subunit ribosomal RNA
Source: RNAcentral